GAAUAUUGCGCAAUGGGCGAAAGCCUGACGCAGCAACGCCGCGUGCGGGAUGAAGGCCUUCGGGUUGUAAACCGCUUUCGGCAGGGACGAAAUUGACGGUACCUGCAGAAGAAGCCCCGGCCAACUACGUGCCAGCAGCCGCGGUAACACGUAGGGGGCAAGCGUUGUCCGGAUUUAUUGGGCGUAAAGAGCUCGUAGGCUGUUGAGUAAGUCAGCUGUUAAAGCUCCAGGCUCAACCUGGAGAGGCCAGUUGAUACUGCUCUGACUAGAGUCCGGUAGGGGAGUGCGGAAUUCCUGGUGUAGCGGUGGAAUGCGCAGAUAUCAGGAGGAACACCGAUGGCGAAGGCAGCACUCUGGGCCGGUACUGACGCUGAGGAGCGAAAGCGUGGGUAGCAAACAG
This 400-nucleotide ribosomal RNA is filed under the name uncultured bacterium. RNAcentral describes it as "bacterial SSU rRNA". It matches the Rfam family "Bacterial small subunit ribosomal RNA", at positions 359 to 775 of the family's 1533-position model. The record is from RNAcentral.